This 500-nucleotide ribosomal RNA is filed under the name uncultured bacterium. Its description in RNAcentral is "partial 16S ribosomal RNA". It matches the Rfam family "Bacterial small subunit ribosomal RNA", at positions 29 to 523 of the family's 1533-position model. The record is from RNAcentral.
AUUGAACGCUGGCGGCAUGCUUUACACAUGCAAGUCGAACGGCAGCGGGUCCUUCGGGAUGCCGGCGAGUGGCGAACGGGUGAGUAAUGCAUCGGAACAUACCCAGUCGUGGGGGAUAACGUAGCGAAAGUUACGCUAAUACCGCAUACGUCCUGAGGGAGAAAGCGGGGGAUCUUCGGACCUCGCGCGAUUGGAGUGGCCGAUGUCAGAUUAGCUAGUUGGUGGGGUAAAGGCCCACCAAGGCGACGAUCUGUAGCGGGUCUGAGAGGGUGAUCCGCCACACUGGGACUGAGACACGGCCCAGACUCCUACGGGAGUCAGCAGUGGGGAAUUUUGGACAAUGGGGGCAACCCUGAUCCAGCCAUGCCGCGUGCGGGAAGAAGGCCUUCGGGUUGUAAACCGCUUUCGGACGGAAAGAAAUCGCUUGGGUUAAUACCCUGAGUGGAUGACGGUACCGUAAGAAGAAGCACCGGCUAACUACGUGCCAGCCGCCGCAGUAA